UACGUAGGGUGCGAGCGUUAAUCGGAAUUACUGGGCGUAAAGCGUGCGCAGGUGGUUUUUUAAGUCAGACGUGAAAUCCCCGGGCUUAACCUGGGAACUACGUUUGAAACUGGAAGACUAGAGUGUGGCAGAGGGGGGUGGAAUUCCUGGUGUAGCAGUGAAAUGCGUAGAGAUCAGGAGGAACACCGAUGGCGAAGGCAGCCCCCUGGGCUAACACUGACGCUCAUGCACGAAAGCGUGGGGAGCAAACAGG
This 253-nucleotide ribosomal RNA is filed under the name uncultured bacterium. RNAcentral's name for it is "partial 16S ribosomal RNA". It matches the Rfam family "Bacterial small subunit ribosomal RNA", at positions 524 to 776 of the family's 1533-position model. The record is from RNAcentral.